This is a long non-coding RNA of Macaca mulatta (Rhesus monkey), 1859 nucleotides long. RefSeq lists it as uncharacterized. NCBI's taxonomy places the organism in Eukaryota, Metazoa, Chordata, Mammalia, Primates, Cercopithecidae. The record is from RefSeq and is a predicted model, not a curated record.
GCAGCCGAGGAGCACAGCUAGUCAUAUCAGGACCAGAGUGGUGACUGUCAGUCCCCACGGCUCCCCCAGCGGAUGGCAGCUGUCAGUCUGAAUCACAGAAUCCCUGGGGAAGAUAUAGGGUCUUCACUGCUUUCAGGAAGCCAUUUCUGGGCAAAGACUCCUGUUUGCAAGGAAAAGGCACAGACACUGUACCUCUCUGCAAGGUGGCUGUUUUUCCAAAGGAAGGGUAGAUGGAAAGGACGACAAAGCUGGAAGAGGGUGAAUUAGCAAGGGAGACGACAAGGUGCAAGCUAUAACCAGGGAGAAUGCUCACCUGGGACUGCUGGCUGCUGCCCUUCGAGGAUGGCCUGUCUGCCAGACCAUCCCUCAGGGUGGGGCUUCCAGUCUGAGACUCCAUGGAGAAGAAGCAUGAUCCUGAGGGACAUUCUGCCUAUACCUGAAGCCCUAGGAGAACAGAGGUAAACUUGAGACAUGUGUAGACAAAAUAAAGUAUGGAUCUUGAUCCUUGAGGACCUCAAUGUCCAUGUUCAUGCUAAUGAUCCAUUGAGUACUUGGAUUUCAGUUACUACUUUUCCUCAAUAUUAUUCCACCCUGUAUGCUGGCCUUUGCAGAAGACUCAAGUUGGAAGAUGGAAAUUCAGAUUACAAGGUACCUCACCUGCUACCUGCCACCUCUCUGGCUCUCCUACAAACCAGCUCAUCCAUGCAACAGGUCCCACACCCCCAUGGGCAGGGCCCACACCAUCAGGAGGAAAGGUUUUGCUAAUGAUGGCCUAGAGGAAGGAGUAGCCCUGGCAUCAGAGCCCUGUGUACGAUUUAGCCUAUAAACCCAAAACUGCUAUUAACUUCUACUAAGCCACCACAUUGAGCAGGUCCUGAAAGAGAAGAACAGAGCAGCCCCAUCAAAGGGAACCUUCUAUGCACCCAGGGCAAUGCUGGGUAUUCACAGGUAUAUAGGCGCCUGGCUCUUCACCUGAACAACAGCUUCCCUCUAUGGUAGCUUUCCUAAGGUUAGGUUACGACCAAAUAUCCCUGCAGGCAACCCAUUCCUUGCUCCCAUACUUUGAAUAAUAAUAAAACCAGCUGCUGGUUGGAGUCUGCCAAGGCUACCUCCCAGGAGAGCUUCUCUGAAGGUUAAUGUGGAGCUGUCAUGCACAGCCAGAUUGUCACUUAGGCCUUUGUUGUUCCUCCUGCACUUGUUUCUCUGCUCUGGCUGUGUCCAGCAGCUUCCUAGUGCCCACUAGGUGGUGAUGCCAGCAGAGACUGGCCUGUGAGCCUGGAGCAAAAAGGACCGUCAGUAUGGAUUGGCUUCCAGCUGAAGUGGGCCCACCCAGCAAUCCGAAGAGGUGGGAAGGAUGGUGUUAACAGCAAGCUAGCACUUCAUGAGGGCUUGGAUUAUUGUUCAAUGCAUUCUGAUGAGCACCAUCUGCUGCCAAUCCACACUGGGCAUAUGUCUUUUUGCCCAAGCACUGCACUGUGGCUACGAAUUCAUCACAAAGCAUGCAUAGGCCUUGCAGAGAGGAGACAAGUGCUGGAGACAAUCUCCAAGCAUAUCUGGGAGCAAGGGAAGACAGGUGGAAAAACAUUCUGUAAAUAUAGACCUACAAAAUACAUAAGGGACAAAUACUGCCUGAGACAUUUAGCAAUACCCAAUUUGCCAUAUGACAGACCAUAAAAGCGACCAGAGAAGUUUCUGCAUCAGCUGAAUCCUUAGCUAAAUCUAUUGCAUAAACCGUUUCUUUUGUUUCUGUAUGGUAUGUUUGAUGUUCUAAUUCCCAUUCAACUAUGAGCUCCAGUUCAUCCCAAAACUUUUUUGUUGUAGUUGUUAAGAACAAUAAAUUUCACAUCUCUCUGUAUUAA